UGGGGAAUAUUGCACAAUGGGCGCAAGCCUGAUGCAGCAACGCCGCGUGAGGGACGACGGCCUUCGGGUUGUAAACCUCUUUUAGUAGGGAAGAAGCGAAAGUGACGGUACCUGCAGAAAAAGCACCGGCUAACUACGUGCCAGCAGCCGCGGUAAUACGUAGGGUGCGAGCGUUGUCCGGAAUUAUUGGGCGUAAAGAGCUCGUAGGCGGUCUGUCGCGUCUGCUGUGAAAACCCGAGGCUCAACCUCGGGCCCUGCAGUGGGUACGGGCAGACUAGAGUGCGGUAGGGGAGAAUGGAAUUCCUGGUGUAGCGGUGGAAUGCGCAGAUAUCAGGAGGAACACCGAUGGCGAAGGCAGUUCUCUGGGCCGUAACUGACGCUGAGGAGCGAAAGCGUGGGGAGCGAACAGGAUUAGAUACCCUGGGUAGUCCACGCCGUAAACGUUGGGCGCUAGAUGUGGGGACCAUUCCACGGUUUCCGUGUCGCAGCUAACGCAUAAGCGCCCGCCUGGGGAGUACGGUCGCAAGA
Molecule: ribosomal RNA, 528 nt
Filed under: uncultured bacterium
Lineage: Bacteria
Description: partial 16S ribosomal RNA
Rfam family: Bacterial small subunit ribosomal RNA
Source: RNAcentral